This 947-nucleotide ribosomal RNA is filed under the name human gut metagenome. RNAcentral describes it as "bacterial SSU rRNA". It matches the Rfam family "Bacterial small subunit ribosomal RNA", at positions 8 to 974 of the family's 1533-position model. The record is from RNAcentral.
AGGGUUCGAUUCUGGCUCAGGAUGAACGCUGGCGGCGUGCUUAACACAUGCAAGUCGAACGGGAUCCACCGGGCUUUGCUUGGUGGUGAGAGUGGCGAACGGGUGAGUAAUGCGUGACCGACCUGCCCCAUACACCGGAAUAGCUCCUGGAAACGGGUGGUAAUGCCGGAUGCUCCAGUUGAUCGCAUGGUCUUCUGGGAAAGCUUUCGCGGUAUGGGAUGGGGUCGCGUCCUAUCAGCUUGACGGCGGGGUAACGGCCCACCGUGGCUUCGACGGGUAGCCGGCCUGAAAGGGCGACCGGCCACAUUGGGACUGAGAUACGGCCCAGACUCCUACGGGAGGCAGCAGUGGGGAAUAUUGCACAAUGGGCGCAAGCCUGAUGCAGCGACGCCGCGUGAGGGAUGGAGGCCUUCGGGUUGUAAACCUCUUUUAUCGGGGAGCAAGCGAGAGUGAGUUUACCCGUUGAAUAAGCACCGGCUAACUACGUGCCAGCAGCCGCGGUAAUACGUAGGGUGCAAGCGUUAUCCGGAAUUAUUGGGCGUAAAGGGCUCGUAGGCGGUUCGUCGCGUCCGGUGUGAAAGUCCAUCGCUUAACGGUGGAUCCGCGCCGGGUACGGGCGGGCUGGAGUGCCGUACGGGAUACUGGAAUUCCCUGUGUCACGGUGGAAUGUGUAGAUAUCGGGAAGAACACCAAUGGCGAAAGCAGGUCUCUGGGCCGAUACUGACGCUGAGGAGCGAAAGCGUGGGGAGCGAACAGGAUUAGAUACCCUGGUAGUCCACGCCGUAACGGUGGAUGCUGAAGUGGGGGCCCUUUCACGGGAUCCGUGUCGGACCUAAGGCGUAAGCAUCCCGCCCUGGGGAUACGGCCCCAAGCUAAAACUCAAGAAAUUGACGGGGCCCCCCCAACCGCGGAACUGGCGAUUAAUUAAUGGCACCCAAGAACCUUAC